AUUCACUCACAGCAGAAGCACCUCCGUCCCCCGCUGCCUGCACAUCAUACCAUAUCAUAAACCGCUACCAUUACUGCCAGCGAGCUAACAACAUACCCUUCAAAAACAGGAUCUCACAAACGGCCGAGGCGUUGAUGGAGGGGCCACUGAGAGGUGUUUGGGAAGGACACUAUGUUUCCCUGUGUCUCCUCCUGGCCCUCUUCUGAUCCCCCUGCCGCUCUGGGCCAUGCUCCGCCCAUUCCCCCGGUACAGCCGCCCAAUCAGCCACUGCCUGACCUGCUGCGGAGCUGUGUUGUGCUCCCUUCCCCAUCCACGCGCCUGAGCCCUUGUACCAACGACAUGGAGUCCAUGAUUGUGGUGACGGAGUACGAGCCCAGUGGUGGCUCAGGGCAAGAGGGCGGAGAGGAGGAGGAGGUGGAGGACAUGGACAGCUCGGAAACGCCUGAGCCCGCGUCGUCAGGUCCGGUACCGCCCUUCCGUAUGGCCUCCUGUGAUCUUUUAUCCCACACGGUGGGCCGCCCGGAAGCGCUCUUCCCAGAGCCUCAGGAGCACAGAGGUAGACUCAGCCUUUCCGACAGAAAGCUGUCACUACAGGAACGCUCGCAGACGCUUUCCUCGCCCUGCGGUUCGCCGGGGUUGAACGGACGCUAUAUUUACCCAUCGCUGCCCUAUUCGCCAAUCACCUCCCCUCACUCUUCUCCACGCCUCCCUCGAAGACCAACCGUGGAGUCUCAUCGUGUCUCCAUCACAGACCUGCAGGACUGCGUGCAGCUCAACCAGUACAAGCUGAAAGAUGAGAUCGGAAAGGGCUCCUAUGGAGUUGUCAAGCUGGCGUACAAUGAAGACGAUAACACGUACUAUGCCAUGAAAGUGCUGUCCAAGAAGCGACUGAUGAGGCAGGCUGGGUUCCCGCGCAGACCUCCUCCUCGUGGGGCAAAAUCAGCCCCUGAGGGCCCACCUCAGCCCAAAGGGCCUCUGGAGCGAGUUUACCAGGAGAUAGCCAUUCUCAAGAAGCUAGAUCACCCUAAUGUGGUUAAGCUUGUGGAGGUGCUGGAUGAUCCAAGUGAGGACCAUCUGUACAUGGUAUUCGAGCUUGUCAAACGAGGAGCAGUGAUGGAGGUUCCUACUGAUAAGCCCCUGGAUGAGGACCAGGCACGCUUCUACUUCCAGGACUUGCUGAGAGGCAUUGAGUAUUUACAUUAUCAGAAAAUCAUUCAUCGGGACAUCAAGCCUUCCAACCUGCUUGUGGGAGAAGAUGGCCAUGUUAAAAUUGCCGACUUUGGGGUCAGUAACCAGUUUGAGGGAGCAGACGCCCUCCUGACCAGCACAGUUGGGACGCCAGCGUUUCUCGCCCCAGAAACCCUCUCAGAAACCCGCAAGAACUUCUCUGGAAAGGCUCUGGAUGUGUGGGCAAUGGGAGUCACCUUGUACUGUUUCAUCUUCGGAGUGUGUCCAUUUAUGGAUGAGCGUAUUUUGAGCCUCCAUCAGAAGAUCAAGACCCAACCAGUGGAGCUUCCCGAGAACGCGGACAUAUCGGAUGACUUAAAGGACCUUCUUUUUAAAAUGUUGGACAAGAAUCCUGAAACCAGAAUUACCGUCCCACAAAUCAAGGUGCACCCAUGGGUGACGCGGCACGGCGCUGAGCCCCUCCCCCCUGAGGACGACAACUGCUGCAGCCUGAUAGAAGUGACAGAGGAGGAGGUGGAAAACUCUGUCAAGCACAUCCCCAGCCUGGCCACAGUGAUCUUGGUUAGGACUAUGCUGCGCAAGCGUUCUUUUGGGAACCCGUUUGAUUGGGGCCGCAGGGAAGACAGGAGUCCCGCCGCACCAGGACACACGCUAUCAACACAAAAGAAGAUAUUUUGAAAAUGUGGGUAACCAAGGAGUUGACGGUAGCCAUUGACUUCCAUAGUAUUUUUUUCCACACUGUGGAAGUCAGUGGCUACCGUCAACAGUUCAGUUACCAACAUCCUUCAGAACACCUUCUUUUUAUCUCAACAGAAGAAAGAAAUUCAUACAAGUUUGGAAUGAUGAGGGAAACAAGAGAGCGAGGAAGGCAUGCGGAGCAUGGACCUGCCCUUCGUGGGCGAGGAUGAAGUUCUUUCCUGAUAGUUGUGGUGGGCGUCUUGCUCGGGCGAAAUGCGUAAGGAUGGGGCUGUCGUGGCUUCCGGAAGGCCAGGAUAUGGACCUGGGGCUGGGGCGUGGACGGAAAGAUGGAAGAAAGGCGGAAGCUCUUGUUGGCUUGUUGAUGUGGAGGGUGCCCACCCACUCAUGCAUGCAUUUGUACAGUCCACAGCAGCAUGCACUGUAUCUGUCCGCCCAGGUCUCUGCUGUCUCUCAGGACCUGUUUUCUUGUGUGCGCGUGUGUUUCUACUCUCCUCUCCGGCACGGAGAUUUCUGCUUUACUCCUCUACUUCAGCUAGGGGGCGCCACCGCAAGGCUAAAUAGAAUUUUUUAAGAAAAAAAACACAAUUUCUUAAGUUUGUCCAUCACUCGUUAGUUAAAGAGACAUGCUGCUUAUUGCGGUUCUUAUAGAUUAUUAGAAGUGAAUUUGAACAUUAUUAAAAAAGGUCCAAAAAGUUCUUGAAAAGUCAGGUUUGUUUGGUCAAAUAAAACAAAUAAUAUAUAGAACUAAAAAUCAAGGCAAAAAAAAUGAUAAAUAGCCUUUGCACAUUUGCGAACAAUAACCUUUAACUCGUUUUUAAUUCUUAAUGAACGAUUUCUUAGGUUUGUCCAUCGCUCAUUAAUUAUAGAGACAUGCUGUCUGAUUGUAUAUGAUAUGAUUUGAAAAUUAUAAAAUAAAAAAUAGCUUAGACUCAUCAGAAAUUUCAAAUUGAAAAUCUUGAUUAAAUUAGGAUUAAUAAUAAAAAAAUAUGUAAGAUACAAAAAAUAAUUAAAAUUAAUUUUUCUGACAGCAACCUCUAAGAUGGUUUUAGAAUAAUUUUUUAAUUUGAUUUCUUAGAUUUUUCCAGCACUCAUUAAUUAGAGAGACAUGCUGCUUUAUUGCAGUUUUACAGAUCUUAUAGAUUAUUAUAACUGAAUUUGAACGUAAUAAAAUAAACUCAGACUUUCAUCAGAAAUUAAUUUCUUCUUGAAAAAAAAUCUUCUUGAAAGUCAGGUUUGUUCGGUCAAAUAAAAUAAAUAGCAUAUAGAAAUAUAAAUCAAGGCACACAAAAAAUAAAUAAAUAAAUAAAUAGCCUUUGCACAUUUGCGGACAAUAACCUUUAACUAGUUUUUAAUUCUUAAUGUAUAAUUUUUAGAUUUGUCCAUCACUUAUUAAUUAGAGAGACAUGCUGCCUGAUUGUAAAUGAUAUGAUUUAAAAUAAAGAACAACUCAGACUUUCAUCAGAAAUUAAUUUCAGCUUGAAAAUCUCAGAAAUCAGCUUUGUUUGAUCAAAUUGAGAUGAAUGAAUUAAUAGUAAAAUACAUAUAAAAUGAAAUAAGUAGCUUUAAAUAAUUAAAAUUCUCCAAAUUUGCUGACAACAAUCUCUAAGAUGUUCUUAUAGGAAAUGAGUUUCUUAGUGUUUUCCAUUUGUAAUUAAUUAGAGAGACUUGCUGCUUUAUCUCAUUAGAUUAUCAGAACUGAAUUUUAAAAGUAAUAAAUGAAAAAUAAAAACAGUUCAGACUUUCAUCAAAAAUGAAUUUCUUCUCAAAAAAAAAAAAAAGUUGGAAAUCAGGUUUGUUUGGUCAAAUAAAAUAAUUAAUUUAUAUUUAAAAAAAAAUCAAGGCAAAUAAAAUAAUAAAUAGCCUUUGCACAUUUGCAGAACAUAACCUUUAACUAGUUUUUAAUAAAUAAUGUAUGAUUUCUUAGGUUUGUCCAUCACUCAUUAAUUACGGAGUCAUGCUGCCUGAUUGUAUAUGAUAUGAUUUGAAAAUAAAAUAAAAAAUAGCUCAAAUUCCAAAAAUUAAAUUUUAACUUGAAAAUCUUCUCAGAAAACAGGAUUGUUUGAUUAAAUUACGAUAGUAACCAAUCAAUUAAUUUAUAAUAAAAUAUAUGUAAGUACAAAAACGAAUACAUUAAGUAAUAAAUAGCUUUAAAUAAUUUAAAAAAAAACUUUUUUUUUUCUUCAAUCAUUAAUUAGAGAACCAUGUUGCUUUAUUGCAGCUUUUCAGAUCUUGUUGGACUAUUAGAACUGAAUUUUUAAUUAAUAUAUGGGAAAAAAAAAAAACUCAGACUUUCGUCAGAAAUUAAUUUCAACUUCAGCUGAAAUUCUUCUCAAAAUCAGGUUUGUUUAAUUAAAUUAAGUACAAUAAAAAAAAAUAAAAAUAAAAAAACAACUAAAAGUAAAUAAAAAGACAAUUUUUUAACAAGUUAAAUUCUUAAAAUUUGCAGUCAGGAAAUGUGUAUAAUGCCAUUUAGGGAAAAUGCAGAUAUGUUUGUAUGUGUGUGUUUGUUUGUAUAUUAAAUCACACAACUUUGUGUUUAUAUUAUAACGUCAGCGCUGUAGAUGGUGACCAGGACCAAACCUGGAAACUAUCUCGUUUUUUUUUUUUAACAACAAAGCCCGAAACCAAGAGAUGAAAGAGUUAUGGUCAUAGUACGUAGGUCAAUUAUUUAGGGCACAAAUAACCUUUAGGGAAUGCCAGAAUAAUGUGACCGUUCUUCUUCUUCUUGUAAGUAACAUGACCCUUUUAAUCAUGAAGGUAACAGUUUCUUACUGUAAUUUCACUUCCUUUUCCUGUGUAGACCAAAAUGCCAUGUAGUAGUGCAUUUCCGACUUCCGUCAUGGUCAGAGUGAGUUCGUUAUCGGCAUUUCUAUAUAGGACGCAUACUCUUGAGGAAAUACAAUAACUUUGUGCAAUCUAUGCAUGACUUUUCACUUAAGGAAUCAAUGUUUGUCAGUCUGUUUUGACACAAAUGUAUGCCUUACAUUUUCAUACUCAUAACUGUAGCAUAGAUCAUCAGUACGUGUGUAGAGUUUUUUGGUACGAUAGAAUUGUAGAUAAAAGUAGAAUCGGAGAUUUUAGAUAAGCAGCGUAGAACUAUAGUAGAACUUGCUUUUAAAGUUAGCAAAAAUAGUCCAAAGCCCUGUUGAGAUUUUCUCAAUGUGCACUACGGUCAUGUAUCUCCUGUGUUGAUUAUUUUUCUAUGAUUGUUUGUUUGUUCGCUCUAUUUAGCCGUAGUUUUUGAAAUGUUGGAGUGAUGGUGCUUUUCCACCACUGAAAAUUAAUAACAUAGCUCAUGCUUCCAUGUAUCAGGGGAGUCUUUUCUGCACAAGUAGGUUGAAUGUAUGUUGUAACUCUAUACCUUUGUUUUUUCCACUUUUUUUGGUUUCCUGCAUGUUAAGCUCUGCUGUAUUUUAUAGUACUUGUUUUCUCUCUUUAAGACUUUGAUUUGAAUCUUUUGUGUAGGUACUAUUACUAUGCAUAAGAAAUCUCACAUUGUGGUGCAGUUCUGGACUGUGUCAGUCAGUCGGUUGGUCUCUCGUGUAUGUAUUGGAUGUUGAUUAUUGAAGGAAACUUGUAAUAUUGACUUAAAUAUGCAUGUGCACCGACCGGAGCUGGUUAUACAAUAUCACUACUGUAUAUGUACGUGGACAUUUGAACAGAUUUUGAUGACCUUUAAAUAAUAUAUUCAGGACCCGAGAAGCGCCGUUCCCCUUUUUUGAGUAAGUAUUUAUAGGGAAUAUCUGAAAAUAUAUAAAGGUUUAUCUUUGCACAUAAGAACGUUUAGCAGAAUUCAGAUGAUGCAUGUUUGAAGGUCUCCAUGUUUUCUUCUGUACAAUCAAAACUAGAAGCAAAACUCACCAGCUGAAAUCAAAGACAGCAUUUAACCAUUUCCGAUGUACAGCCGCUUUCUCAAUGACUGACAUUGCAGAUGUGUACCUGUAUUGAAGGGAACGCUGUACUGUAUAUUUAUAACCUCAUUCCUCACUGUUUCUGCCCAGUAUUUCUCAAAGGGCUAGAGUAAAUGUUUGCGUCCAUAUUUCACACUAGCGACUGCGUUUUGAGCACCGUUGAGAGGGCUGUUUACAGGGAUGUUACAUAAAUGCAUGCCGUCACAAUCACGCAAUUUCAUUCAGCAUGUUUUCAAAGCAUGUUUGAGCUCUUUAUAGCAUCCUCUGAUCUCAUUGCUGAUCAUUCUAUAUAUUGUAUCCAGUUGAUUAUUUGAAUAAAUUAAAGUUGCCUUUA
RNA transcript from Labeo rohita (rohu), 6132 nucleotides. It is a transcript of the gene named calcium/calmodulin-dependent protein kinase kinase 2, with no coding region annotated. Lineage: Eukaryota; Metazoa; Chordata; Actinopteri; Cypriniformes; Cyprinidae. The transcript is spliced from 17 exons. The record is from RefSeq and is a predicted model, not a curated record.